RNAcentral lists this ribosomal RNA (301 nucleotides) under uncultured bacterium. RNAcentral's name for it is "partial 16S ribosomal RNA". It matches the Rfam family "Bacterial small subunit ribosomal RNA", at positions 509 to 809 of the family's 1533-position model. The record is from RNAcentral.
CAGUAGCCGCGGGAAAACGAAGGGUGCAAGCGUUAAUCGGAAUUACUGGGCGUAAAGCGCACGUAGGCGGCUUGGUAAGUUAGAGGUGAAAGCCUGGAGCUCAACUCCAGAAUUGCCUUUAAGACUGCCGAGCUAGCAGGUGAGAGAGGUAAGUGGUAUUCCGAGUGUAGAGGUGAAAUUCGUAGAUAUUCGGAAAAACACCAGUGGCGAAGGCGGCUUACUGGAUCAUACUGGACGCUGAGGUGCGAAAGCGUGGGGAGCAAACAGGAUUAGAUACCCCGGUAGUCCCUGUCUCUUAUAA